GACGUAGGAGGCGAGCGUUAUCCGGAUUCACUGGGCGUAAAGCGCAAGUAGGCGGUUGUGAAAGUCCGUUGUUAAAGCCCCUGGCUCAACUGGGGGAGGUCAAUGGAGACUUUAUGACUUGAGGGCAACAGAGGCAUGUGGAAUUCCUGGUGUAGCGGUGGAAUGCGCAGAUAUCAGGAGGAACACCGAUAGCGAAGGCAGCUCGCUGGGACGGUACUGACGCUGAGGCGCGAAAGCCAGGGGAGCAAACGGG
Molecule: ribosomal RNA, 253 nt
Filed under: uncultured bacterium
Lineage: Bacteria
Description: partial 16S ribosomal RNA
Rfam family: Bacterial small subunit ribosomal RNA
Source: RNAcentral